AUGUCAAAGGCAAAGCAGCUGAAAAGCUGUGACGCAAAGCUACAGGGCCUGAGAAUGGCAGCCAGCUGCUG
RNAcentral lists this non-coding RNA (71 nucleotides) under uncultured Blautia sp. RNAcentral describes it as "Cyclic di-GMP-I riboswitch". It matches the Rfam family "c-di-GMP-I riboswitch aptamer". From Rfam's summary of the family: GEMM was predicted in a large-scale screen for bacterial structured RNA regulatory elements. Genes associated with GEMM are involved in a diverse array of functions, including chemotaxis regulation, signal transduction, secretion and chitin. Lineage: Bacteria; Bacillati; Bacillota; Clostridia; Lachnospirales; Lachnospiraceae. The record is from RNAcentral.